AGAGCGAACGCUGGCGGCAGGCCUAACACAUGCAAGUCGAGCGCCCGUAGCAAUACGGGAGCGGCAGACGGGAUAGUAACACGUGGGAACGCGCCCUUCGGUUCGGAAUAACUCAGGGAAACUUGAGCUAAUACCGAAUACGCCCUUACGGGGAAAGAUUUAUUGCCGAAGGAACGGCCCGCGUCCGAUUAGCUAGUUGGUGAGGUAAUGGCUCACCAAGGCUACGAUCGGUAGCUGGUCUGAGAGGAUGACCAGCAUCACUGGGACUGAGACACGGCCCAGACUCCUACGGGAGGCAGCAGUGGGGAAUAUUGGACAAUGGGCGCAAGCCUGAUCCAGCCAUGCCGCGUGGAUGAUGAAGGCCUUAGGGGUUGUAAAGUCCUUUUAACGGGGAAGAUAAUGACGGUACCCGUAGAACUAAGCCCCGGCUAACUUCGUGCCAGCAGCCGC
RNAcentral lists this ribosomal RNA (450 nucleotides) under uncultured bacterium. RNAcentral's name for it is "SSU rRNA". It matches the Rfam family "Bacterial small subunit ribosomal RNA", at positions 26 to 518 of the family's 1533-position model. The record is from RNAcentral.